GCCAAACAGCUAGCUCUAACAUUAAAACGCCCCGCAAUAUAACAAUAAAUAUUAUUUUAAUAAUUAAACUAAAUCAUUCUUUUACCUGAGUAUGGGAGACAGAAAGGGUUGAACCUGAAGCCAUAGAAAAAGUACCGCAAGGGAAAGCUGAAAGAGAAAUGAAAUAAACCAUUAAAGCAAAAAGAAACAAAGACUAAACCUUGUACCUUUUGCAUCAUGAUUCAGCAAGAAACCCCAAGCAAAGAGUCCUUUAGUUUGGAGCCCCGAAACCAAGUGAGCUACCCCGGGACAGCCUACAAAAGGUAGGGCAAACCCGUCUCUGUGGCAAAAGAGUGGGAAGAGCCCCGGGUAGAAGUGACAGACCUACCGAACUUGGUGAUAGCUGGUUGCUUAAGAAGUGGAUAGAAGUUCAGCCCCGCGUUCCUCAAGCCAUGACAAAUAUUUAAGAACGGCCAAGAGCAAGACACGGGAGUUAGUCACAGGGGGUACAGCCCCUUUGACAAAGGACACAACCUUUCCAGGAGAAUAAAGAUCAUAAUUCACAAGACUUACUGUUUUAGUGGGCCCAAAAGCAGCCACCUAAAUAGAAAGCGUUAAAGCUCAAACAGACGACAGUUUAUUAUAACUAUAAAUAAGUCUUACUUCCCUUAAAUUAUUAAGUUAACCCAUGCCCCCAUGGAAGAAACUAUGCUGAAAUGAGUAACAAGAAGGCCCGCCCUUCUCCCAGCACAAGUGUAAGUCAGAUUGGACAACCCACUGAAAAUUAACGAGCCCAAAUUAAAGAGGGUAGUGUGAGUAACAUAAAUACCAAGAAGACCCCACAACUUAAUCAUCGUUGACCCCACACCGGAGUGCAUUUUAUGGGAAAGACUAAAAGAAGGGGAAGGAACUCGGCAAACAAAAGCCUCGCCUGUUUACCAAAAACAUCGCCUCCUGCAACUCUUAAUGUAUAGGAGGUCCAGCCUGCCCAGUGACUACGGGUUCAACGGCCGCGGUAUUUUGACCGUGCAAAGGUAGCGCAAUCACUUGUCUUUUAAAUAAAGACCUGUAUGAAUGGCCAAACGAGGGCUUAACUGUCUCCCCCCUCCAGUCAGUGAAAUUGAUCUAUCCGUGCAGAAGCGGGUAUACUAAUACAAGACGAGAAGACCCUUUGGAGCUUGAGGUACAAGACUUAACCACGUCAAACAACUCCGUAAAAAGAUAAAAACUUAGUGGCAUAUAAGCAUUUACCUUCGGUUGGGGCGACCACGGAGGAAAAGAAAGCCUCCAAGCGGAGAGGGCCAGCACCCCAGAGCCAAGAGGGACACCUCUAAGCCACAGAACGUCUGACCAAUAAUGAUCCGGCACAAAGCCGAUCAACGGACCAAGUUACCCUAGGGAUAACAGCGCAAUCCUCUCCCAGAGUCCAUAUCGACGAGGGGGUUUACGACCUCGAUGUUGGAUCAGGACAUCCCAAUGGUGCAGCCGCUAUUAAGGGUUCGUUUGUUCAACGAUUAAAGUCCUACGUGAUCUGAGUUCAGACCGGAGUAAUCCAGGUCAGUUUCUAUCUGUAGCGCUACUUUUCCUAGUACGAAAGGAUUGGAAAAGAGGGGCCCAUGCUCAAAGCACGCCCCACCCCUAAUUAAUGAAAAAAAAUAAACUAAGUAAAGGGAGGGCCAAAACCCAACCGCCAAAAUAAGGACAC
Molecule: ribosomal RNA, 1684 nt
Filed under: Rhodeus pseudosericeus
Lineage: Eukaryota; Metazoa; Chordata; Actinopteri; Cypriniformes; Acheilognathidae
Description: 16S ribosomal RNA
Rfam family: Bacterial large subunit ribosomal RNA
Source: RNAcentral